This 495-nucleotide ribosomal RNA is filed under the name uncultured bacterium. Its description in RNAcentral is "partial 16S ribosomal RNA". It matches the Rfam family "Bacterial small subunit ribosomal RNA", at positions 28 to 507 of the family's 1533-position model. The record is from RNAcentral.
GAUGAACGCUGGCGGCGUGCCUAAUACAUGCAAGUCGAACGCUGAAGGAGGAGCUUGCUCUUCUGGAUGAGUUGCGAACGGGUGAGUAACGCGUAGGUAACCUGCCUGGUAGCGGGGGAUAACUAUUGGAAACGAUAGCUAAUACCGCAUGACAACAGUUAUUGCAUGAUAACUGUUUAAAAGGGGCAACUGCUCCACUACCAGAUGGACCUGCGUUGUAUUAGCUAGUUGGUGAGGUAACGGCUCACCAAGGCGACGAUACAUAGCCGACCUGAGAGGGGGAGCGGCCACACUGGGACGGAGACACGGCCCAGACGCCUACGGGAGGCAGCAGUAGGGAAUCUUCGGCAAGGGACGGAAGUCUGACCGAGCAACGCCGCGUGAGUGAAGAAGGUUGUCGGAUCGUAAAGCUCGGUUGUAAGAGAAGAACGAGUGUGAGAGUGGAAAGUUCACACUGUGACGGUAUCUUACCAGAAAGGGACGGCUAACUACGUG